RNAcentral lists this ribosomal RNA (470 nucleotides) under uncultured bacterium. Its description in RNAcentral is "bacterial SSU rRNA". It matches the Rfam family "Bacterial small subunit ribosomal RNA", at positions 133 to 601 of the family's 1533-position model. The record is from RNAcentral.
CAACUGGGGGAUAGCCCGCCGAAAGGCGGAUUAAUACCGCAUAAGACUACAGAGGGGCAUCUCUUAGUAGUUAAAGAUUUAUUGGUUUUGGAUGGGGUUGCGUAGCAUUAGCUAGUUGGCGGGGUAAGGGCCCACCAAGGCGACGAUGCUUAGGGGACCUGAGAGGGUGAUCCCCCACACUGGCACUGAGAUACGGGCCAGACUCCUACGGGAGGCAGCAGUAGGGAAUAUUGGGCAAUGGGCGCGAGCCUGACCCAGCCAUGCCGCGUGCCGGAUGAAGGCCUUCUGGGUUGUAAACGGCUUUUCUCAGGGAAGAAAAAGAGGAUGCGUCCUACACUGACGGUACCUGAGGAAUAAGCACCGGCUAACUCCCGUGCCAGCAGCCGCGGUAAUACGGAGGGUGCAAGCGUUGUCCGGAUUUAUUGGGUUUAAAGGGUGCGUAGGUGGCCUGGUAAGUCCGUGGUGAAAGC